Molecule: transfer RNA, 73 nt
Filed under: Planctomycetia bacterium
Lineage: Bacteria; Pseudomonadati; Planctomycetota; Planctomycetia
Also listed under: 1 other name
Description: tRNA-Glu
Rfam family: tRNA
About the family: Transfer RNA (tRNA) molecules are approximately 80 nucleotides in length. Their secondary structure includes four short double-helical elements and three loops (D, anti-codon, and T loops).
Source: RNAcentral
GGCCCCAUCGUUCAGUCGGUUAGGACACGGCCCUUUCAAGGCUGUAAUACGGGUUCGAGUCCCGUUGGGGUCA